GCCCGGGUAGCAUAAUGGUUAUUGCACGUCAUUGGUAAUGACGAGGUUGCGAGUUCAACUCUCGCUCCGGGCU
Molecule: transfer RNA, 73 nt
Filed under: Microcaldota archaeon
Lineage: Archaea; Nanobdellati; Microcaldota
Description: tRNA-Thr
Rfam family: tRNA
About the family: Transfer RNA (tRNA) molecules are approximately 80 nucleotides in length. Their secondary structure includes four short double-helical elements and three loops (D, anti-codon, and T loops).
Source: RNAcentral